Molecule: long non-coding RNA, 1439 nt
Filed under: Salmo salar (Atlantic salmon)
Lineage: Eukaryota; Metazoa; Chordata; Actinopteri; Salmoniformes; Salmonidae
Description: lncRNA (ENSSSAG00000104375.1, ENSSSAG00020013159.1)
Source: RNAcentral
CUCAAACGUUCAUGUGUUUUAAAGGUGUGUAUGUGUACAAAGGCUUUGAGAAGAUUGAAGAAAUGGAACGCCUUCAAAUUUGGCGGACAUCACAGAAAUCGAUUAAAUUCGAUUGAUUUCUGCGACAUUUUUGGUUAUCGUUGAGUCCAAAUUCAGCCAUAAAAGAAAGUACAACUGGGUCUUUGGGAUGUUGGAGGUCAACAGAGGUAAUAGAUGACCCGAUUUGAAAAUGGUACCUUCAAGCUCACGCAGAGUACUGAUCCCGAUCAUUAGAAAACAACAUCAAAAGAGGAUCAACCAUCUACAGUGACUCGUGGAGAGCAUAUGUGCAGGCGCUGAAUCCACUAGGUUAUCAGCAUCACACUGUGAACCACAGGCAGAACUUUGUUGAUCCACAUUCGAGCAGCCACACACAGCACAUUGAACGCUCUUUGCAGAUGAUCAAAAAACAGGUCUGGAGACUAAAAGGGAAUCAAUCAGAGAAAAUGUUGAAGAACCAUUUGAAAUGUAUUGAAUGGACUUACUGGUUGGGCAAAAAACACAGGGGAGGCAUCUUCGGACAACUGAUCAACAACAUUAAGAAGAGAUAUAAAGUGUGACUGAAUUUUUUGGAGGGAGAAAAGCACAUAUUGGGCCCAUCUUCAAAUACCGUUGGAGGUGUGGAGAAGUAGAUCUGGAGAUAAUUUCACUUUUGUUCUGUUAUUGAUCUGUCAUUGUAUUUUGUGAUCACAGUAUUUUCAUUUGCCAUAGAAAAUAAAAAAAGCUUAAAAAAAUUAGAUUUAAAAAAAAAUAUUGUUAACUUUACAAAUUACAACAUUAAGAAAGAGAAACUUCUGGAGUAUCGCAAAAUAUGGUUUGGGUCCCUCAGUCCAGAGCUAUUAAAUUAAAAUAAAAGAAGAAGGCAAGGGGAAAGCUUUGGUCUAUAACACCAAAGAUUUGGUAGAUUAACCAUGUUCUGUUAAUUAGGCCAACAUGGUGUUUUGAAAUUUUCCAGUUUGAAUGUUUUUUGCAUCUCCUACAUCAUGAAGCCUAAUAUAUUGAAAAACUCUCUGAAAAAUCUGUUUUAAUUCUUAAAGAAGUGUUUUUCUUUUUCAGUUUAUACUUUUAUGGCAGUUUGCUGUGAGACUUGUGCCUUAGUAGAUCAUUGAAAAAUAUUUGCUUCCGUCGUUUUAUUUUUUUGUGAAAUGCUACCUCAGAUAACCAUUCUUAAAGAAGAAUGUCUGCACCACAUGUUUCGUUGUUCUUUUUCAGUUGAUACAUUUAUGGCAGUUUGCAGACACUUGUGCCUUCGUAGAUUAGUAAAAAAAAUAUUUUUACAAAAAUGUUAAAUUGUGAAAUGAUACCUCGGAUAACAAUGUUUAAGUAAACUAUUCAAAUGUUUUUACAUUACAAAUGUCCUCUCAGGAAAACUAUGGCAAUGUUAUCAUGUAAUAAAGCUG